UCCCCUGGAGAUUUGUGAAUAUGCAGCUUGUGAUUCAGGAGGAUGGGAUUCUGCAUUUCUAACAAGGUCCCCUGUGGUG
RNAcentral lists this microRNA precursor (79 nucleotides) under Mustela putorius furo (domestic ferret). RNAcentral's name for it is "miRNA (ENSMPUG00000022694.1)". Lineage: Eukaryota; Metazoa; Chordata; Mammalia; Carnivora; Mustelidae. The record is from RNAcentral.